Molecule: small nucleolar RNA, 138 nt
Organism: Ornithorhynchus anatinus (platypus)
Lineage: Eukaryota; Metazoa; Chordata; Mammalia; Monotremata; Ornithorhynchidae
Source: RefSeq, a predicted model, not a curated record
UUCCUCUCAGGAUCACACCUGGAGAGUUUCCCGAACUCUACCAGUCUCAGCUCUGGGAGGGGGAGUCAAGCAGAGGCAAACUCAUUCCAUUCUUAGCUUGACCAGUGGCUAGCGAGUGGAAGGCAAGCUGCUGCAACU